GAGCCGUGCAGUGAGGGCAUAGCGAACUAUUCUUUCGCCUUUUACUAAAGAAUACCGUGUUCUCUCUGCAUUUAAACGGCAUACGCCUAUUUUUGGAAAGGUUUAUUUACUAAUAAACCU
RNAcentral lists this small nuclear RNA (120 nucleotides) under Arabidopsis thaliana x Arabidopsis arenosa. Its description in RNAcentral is "U5". It matches the Rfam family "U5 spliceosomal RNA". From Rfam's summary of the family: U5 RNA is a component of both types of known spliceosome. The precise function of this molecule is unknown, though it is known that the 5' loop is required for splice site selection and p220 binding, and that both the 3' stem-loop and the Sm site are important for Sm protein binding and cap methylation. The record is from RNAcentral. Lineage: Eukaryota; Viridiplantae; Streptophyta; Magnoliopsida; Brassicales; Brassicaceae.